RNAcentral lists this long non-coding RNA (358 nucleotides) under Bos taurus (domestic cattle). Its description in RNAcentral is "long non-coding RNA NONBTAT014248". Lineage: Eukaryota; Metazoa; Chordata; Mammalia; Artiodactyla; Bovidae. The record is from RNAcentral.
UACUGCAUUUACAAAGAAAACAGACAAUGCACCCAGUAGAAAGAAUAAAAAUGUGUUUGGGGUUUUAUUUUUUACUGAGAGCAAAUAGAAAUCCUUUAGUGAGAUCCUGGCAAUUUGACAGUAAGUUCAAUAAAGGUACAUGAAUUCCUAUCAUUCCACAAUUGUGAUUUUACAGUGUAGGAAAGAAUUCAGUUCUAGUCUGGUAUUGCUUUACAUGUAUAUAUCGCUGAAAACCAAAAGUGGAUUAGAACUGCUGAAGGAUUUUCCCUGCCGUUGUUUGAUACAAUCUAUUUUGUUUAUUCUUGAUAGGUGCAUAGACAGCCUCAUUUAAAAUUCUUUCUACAGGAACAUGUCUGAU